GGGUCGGUAGCUUAAAGUUAAAGCGGUGGCCUCAUAAGCUAACGAGUAGGAGUUAGAUUCUCCUCCGACCCACCA
This 75-nucleotide transfer RNA is filed under the name Shigella flexneri. RNAcentral describes it as "tRNA-Met". It matches the Rfam family "tRNA". Rfam says of the family: Transfer RNA (tRNA) molecules are approximately 80 nucleotides in length. Their secondary structure includes four short double-helical elements and three loops (D, anti-codon, and T loops). The record is from RNAcentral. RNAcentral also lists the same sequence under 9 other names. Lineage: Bacteria; Pseudomonadati; Pseudomonadota; Gammaproteobacteria; Enterobacterales; Enterobacteriaceae.